UUAAUUUUGCUUAAAAAUCGAAUUCUCCACGAAGGUGGUUUCCCGGGGCCGGGCUUAUCCAUUGCCCUCGGGAUGUGCUGACCCCAGCGGUUGCCCCGAAUGUCGCCCCAAAAGUGGGAAAUCGACUGCAUGGUUUGUGGUAGUGGGGGGAUUGCGUUCGCGCGCCCCAA
This 170-nucleotide small nuclear RNA is filed under the name Echinops telfairi (small Madagascar hedgehog). RNAcentral's name for it is "U1 spliceosomal RNA (ENSETEG00000025183.1)". The stretch from base 20 to 170 matches the Rfam family "U1 spliceosomal RNA". From Rfam's summary of the family: U1 is a small nuclear RNA (snRNA) component of the spliceosome (involved in pre-mRNA splicing). The record is from RNAcentral. Lineage: Eukaryota; Metazoa; Chordata; Mammalia; Afrosoricida; Tenrecidae.